Long non-coding RNA from Dioscorea cayenensis subsp. rotundata (Guinea yam), 880 nucleotides. RefSeq lists it as uncharacterized. The record is from RefSeq and is a predicted model, not a curated record. The transcript has 2 exons. NCBI's taxonomy places the organism in Eukaryota, Viridiplantae, Streptophyta, Magnoliopsida, Dioscoreales, Dioscoreaceae.
GGCCAGCAUACUUAGAAUUAAUCCCUAUUUCAAUGUUUUAAAUGCCUUGAACAAAAAAGUCUUUCAUUGCCAAGUGCUUAUCCGCCGUUCAUGCAGGUUAUUGAGCUGGAGAAUCAUCCGUGAUACAUGCAUCCUUUCAUUCAAAUCAGGACCCGUGACACAAGGUGCCUCACAUGAUCAAACUUUGUAUCUUUUUGCCUCCUUUGCAGUGCCUAGACAUCACAUGAGACUUCACGGUGAUUCUCAGCAAUUGUCAAUUAGCUCUCCACUUGCUUGAAACUGCCAUUUAUCUGUGAACGUGCGGUCCUUAUUCCACUUUGCACGUGUUGUCCUUUUGGAAAAUUAAGUUUGCAUAAUAUUGGCCAACUGUGAUUUAAGUGUCAAAUGGAUUUAUGACAGCAAGCUAGUAAUCUCCAUGUCCUAAAGCUUUUAAAGAGGUUUGAUAACAAGUUGGUUGAGUAAUUUUAGAUCUGCCUUUUCAUUCUAGAUCUGCUAAUAGAUCUGUCCUACUAGUAAAGGAGAUUGCCUUUUUAGUACUUCCAUUCUAAUUCUUUUCUUUUGUUUGAUGGCUUCUCUUUUUAUCAUUGUUUGCAGGCAUAUUUUCUUCUUGAAGACUAAUACAAUUCAUCAACAAAUGGUGAAUUUAAUUCAAGAAUUUGUAUGGUGGCAUGCAGCAGUGCCAAUCAUCAGCAACAGUGAAUGAAAGCUCAAGCAAGUAUCACAUGAAUGCAAAGGUAACAAACAAAAACAAAAACAAAAAAAAAAACCAAACGAAAGAGAAAAAGAUAAAGAUUUCCGCCACCCCAGGAAAAGCAAACCUGUUAUAAUGUAUAAAUUAAAUUAACUACAUGAAAAUAACAUAACUUUAAAAACAAAAGCA